Non-coding RNA from Pelobates cultripes (western spadefoot toad), 419 nucleotides. Lineage: Eukaryota; Metazoa; Chordata; Amphibia; Anura; Pelobatidae. The record is from the annotation of a GenBank genome assembly.
CCCCGCCCCCCCUAGAUCUCCAUUUUACCCACUGUAAUGCUUUUUUUUUUUUUUUUUAACCCUCAAUUAAACACCAGCUGAUGUUUACAUGUGUCUACAGUUGCAGAAUUAAUCACCAAUUGGAAUAAGCCACUCUUGUUCCAUCAACACCUUUUCUAUUUUCAUAAAGAGAAAUAUAUAGUUUAUUAUUACCAGUAUGGACAUUUCAGAAAAAAAGACUCAGCCGUUACUUAACUUCAAAUAAUGCCUGGAAAUGCACUUGUUAAAUAGAAUAAUAGGAGAGAAUCCUUCAUAUGCAGGAUUUUCAAGAGGAUAAGCAUUCGAUUCUAAUGACAUAGAUUACACAGUCUAUUCCUUCAAGGCUAGAAAAUGCCCUUUCUAUUGGUAAAAUUAGUGUGCAAUAACUAUCCUCAUCACCA